ACCGAUGAUGGGGAUUACAACAUCAAGCUGCGCAAUUUGACCCGAUUCCUGGAUGAGGACGGCGAUAAAGUCAAAAUCACCCUGCGUUUCCGCGGUCGUGAAAUGGCUCACCAGGAUAUCGGUGUGCGCAUGCUUGAGCGUCUGAAGCAAGAUCUGGAGCCGUACGGACAGGUCGAGCAGUGGCCGAAGAUGGAAGGGCGUCAGAUGAUCAUGAUCAUUGGCCCUAAGAAGAAAAAAUAAUAACAAAUUGGGGAAAGAGUUUAAGAGCCGGGGCGAAUUACCCUUGUCCGGGCGACUCUGUCCUCAACUGAUCAAGUUUUGUGGUGGCAUGCAGGUUUAC
Molecule: unclassified non-coding RNA, 340 nt
Filed under: Collimonas sp. OK607
Lineage: Bacteria; Pseudomonadati; Pseudomonadota; Betaproteobacteria; Burkholderiales; Oxalobacteraceae
Description: Long range pseudoknot
Source: RNAcentral